AGAGUUUGAUCCUGGCUCAGGAUAAACGCUGGCGGCGUGCCUAAUACAUGCAAGUCGAACGGACGGAUCCAGCUUGCUGGAGAAGUCAGUGGCGAACGGGUGAGUAAAACGUAAGCAACCUGCCCACGAAGACUGGGAUAAUCCCUGGAAACGGGGACUAAGACCGGAUAGGCAGAGAGGGGGCAUCCCCAUUCUGUUAAAGGCGGAAAACACUGGUGGAUGGGCUUACGGUGCAUUAGUUAGUUGGCGAGGGUAACGGCCCACCAAGACGAUGAUGCAUAGCCGGCCUGAGAGGGUGAACGGCCACAUUGGGACUGAGACACGGCCCAGACUCCUACGGGAGGCAGCAGUAGGGAAUUUUCGGCAAUGGGGGCAACCCUGACCGAGCAACGCCGCGUGAGUGAAGAAGGUCUUCGGAUUGUAAAGCUCUGUUGUAAGGGAAGAACGGCAAGGAGGGAAUCCUUGAGUGACGGUACCUUACCAGAAAGCCACGGCUAACUACGUGCC
Molecule: ribosomal RNA, 507 nt
Filed under: uncultured organism
Description: SSU rRNA
Rfam family: Bacterial small subunit ribosomal RNA
Source: RNAcentral